Molecule: long non-coding RNA, 641 nt
Filed under: Fukomys damarensis (Damara mole-rat)
Lineage: Eukaryota; Metazoa; Chordata; Mammalia; Rodentia; Bathyergidae
Description: lncRNA (ENSFDAG00000033547.1)
Source: RNAcentral
CUUUCCAAGAGUCAUAGUGUUCAGAUGCACAUACUCCCUGAAGGGAAGGAGGAGGCAGUAGAGACAUGUUUAACUCAGCAGAUUUUCUGCUUAACUGUCCACUGAUUCACUCUUCAAGUUUCUUCCAGUUAUGGUUCUGCAGGAAGGUGGCAAAAAGGUAACAGAAGAGGCCAACUGGAUCAAGGAUGGAGCAGGCUUCUCUUCAGCAGGAUUUGCAUUGUCCACCUCACUCACCAAGUGUGCUCAGGGCAUUUGCAUGAAGGUCUGAGUAGAAGUGUAAAGCGGAAUUUCCUCUCAGUGAGCUGCAAGUAUAAUUGGGGAGUAUGACAGGCCAAAGAGAUGAAGAUAUCAAUAUAACGUCACAAUCCCUCAGGUGUCUUCCAAUCUCCAGAACAAAGGAGAAGAUUUUACAAGACCUGAACCACACAAACCCAAAGUGGGAAGGCAGAGCCCAGAGUCGUUCUCCCAAGGGCAACCCUGCUACAGGGUGGCCACAGUCAAGGCCAGUGGGUAUCUCUGAGACUCCAAAGGGAAGACAGUCCUAUCACUUUUAGUUAAGGUCAGUUUCUUUUUUCUUUUCUUUUCUUUUCUUUUUCUUUUUUCUUUUUUCUUUUUUCUUUUGUCUUUUUUUUUUUUUUUGG